This 484-nucleotide ribosomal RNA is filed under the name uncultured bacterium. Its description in RNAcentral is "partial 16S ribosomal RNA". It matches the Rfam family "Bacterial small subunit ribosomal RNA", at positions 30 to 507 of the family's 1533-position model. The record is from RNAcentral.
AUUGAACGCUGGCGGCAGGCCUAACACAUGCAAGUCGAGCGGAUGAAGGGAGCUUGCUCCUGGAUUCAGCGGCGGACGGGUGAGUAAUGCCUAGGAAUCUGCCUGGUAGUGGGGGAUAACGUCCGGAAACGGGCGCUAAUACCGCAUACGUCCUGAGGGAGAAAGUGGGGGAUCUUCGGACCUCACGCUAUCAGAUGAGCCUAGGUCGGAUUAGCUAGUUGGUGGGGUAAAGGCCUACCAAGGCGACGAUCCGUAACUGGUCUGAGAGGGUGAUCAGUCACACUGGAACUGAGACACGGUCCAGACUCCUACGGGAGGCAGCAGUGGGGAAUAUUGGACGAUGGGCGAAAGCCUGAUCCAGCCAUGCCGCGUGUGUGAAGAAGGUCUUCGGAUUGUAAAGCACUUUAAGUUGGGAGGAAGGGCAGUAAGUUAAUACCUUGCUGUUUUGACGUUACCAACAGAAUAAGCCCCGGCUAACUUCGUG